GCUAUCAUCGGCUCAGUGGCAGAGGCGUGUCUAGUAAACAGGAGUUCGUGGCUUCGAUCCCCACUGGAGCC
This 71-nucleotide transfer RNA is filed under the name Dreissena polymorpha. RNAcentral's name for it is "tRNA-Thr". The record is from RNAcentral. Lineage: Eukaryota; Metazoa; Mollusca; Bivalvia; Myida; Dreissenidae.